This 510-nucleotide ribosomal RNA is filed under the name uncultured bacterium. RNAcentral's name for it is "partial 16S ribosomal RNA". It matches the Rfam family "Bacterial small subunit ribosomal RNA", at positions 28 to 507 of the family's 1533-position model. The record is from RNAcentral.
GACGAACGCUGGCGGCGUGCUUAACACAUGCAAGUCGAACGAAGAGCGAUGGAAGCUUGCUUCUAUCAAUCUUAGUGGCGAACGGGUGAGUAACGCGUAAUCAACCUGCCCUUCAGAGGGGGACAACAGUUGGAAACGACUGCUAAUACCGCAUACGAUCUAAUCUCGGCAUCGAGGAUAGAUGAAAGGUGGCCUCUACAUGUAAGCUAUCACUGAAGGAGGGGAUUGCGUCUGAUUAGCUAGUUGGAGGGGUAACGGCCCACCAAGGCGAUGAUCAGUAGCCGGUCAGAGAGGAUGAACGGCCACAUUGGGACUGAGACACGGCCCAGACUCCUACGGGAGGCAGCAGUGGGGAAUCUUCCGCAAUGGACGAAAGUCUGACGGAGCAACGCCGCGUGAGUGAUGACGGCCUUCGGGUUGUAAAGCUCUGUUAAUCGGGACGAAAGGCCUUCUUGCGAAUAGUGAGAAGGAUUGACGGUACCGGAAUAGAAAGCCACGGCUAACUACGUG